This 492-nucleotide ribosomal RNA is filed under the name uncultured bacterium. RNAcentral describes it as "partial 16S ribosomal RNA". It matches the Rfam family "Bacterial small subunit ribosomal RNA", at positions 29 to 507 of the family's 1533-position model. The record is from RNAcentral.
AGUGAACGCUGGCGGUAGGCCUAACACAUGCAAGUCGAGCGGCAGCACAGCAAGAGCUUGCUCUUACGGGUGGCGAGUGGCGGACGGGUGAGGAAUACAUCGGAAUCUACUUUUUCGUGGGGGAUAACGUAGGGAAACUUACGCUAAUACCGCAUACGACCUACGGGUGAAAGCAGGGGAUCUUCGGACCUUGCGCGAUUGAAUGAGCCGAUGUCGGAUUAGCUAGUUGGCGGGGUAAAGGCCCACCAAGGCGACGAUCCGUAGCUGGUCUGAGAGGAUGAUCAGCCACACUGGAACUGAGACACGGUCCAGGCUCCUACGGGAGGCAGCAGUGGGGAAUAUUGGACAAUGGGCGCAAGCCUGAUCCAGCCAUACCGCGUGGGUGAAGAAGGCCUUCGGGUUGUAAAGCCCUUUUGUUGGGAAAGAAAAGCAGCAGGUUAAUACCCCGCUGUUCUGACGGUACCCAAAGAAUAAGCACCGGCUAACUUCGUG